ACUCCGGGUGCCGGUUGAGGUUGCUGGUGGACCUGCUCUGGUGGUCUUGGAUGAGGCCCCAAUGAGCGCGGCGCCCCUGGUGGGCUACAGCAGCAGCGGCUCCGAGGAUGAGUCCGAGGACGGGAUGCGGCCCAGGCCGGGGGAUGGGAGCCACCGUCGUGGCCAGAGCCCCCUUCCCAGGCAGAGAUUUCCAGUACCUGACAGUGUGCUGAACAUGUUCCCGGGCACCGAGGAGGGGCCUGAAGAUGACAGCACAAAACACGGGGGACGGGUGCGCACCUUCCCGCACGAGCGCGGCAACUGGGCCACCCACGUUUAUGUACCAUAUUCUUCUUUACUGCCAACCAGGUAAAGAUUUACACCAAUCAAGAGAAAACCAGGACCUUUAUUGGGCUUGAGGUCACUUCAGGGCAUGCCCAGUUCCUGGACCUGGUUUCAGAGGUGGACAGAGUCAUGGAGGAAUUC
RNAcentral lists this small RNA (465 nucleotides) under Pongo abelii (Sumatran orangutan). RNAcentral describes it as "processed transcript". The record is from RNAcentral. Lineage: Eukaryota; Metazoa; Chordata; Mammalia; Primates; Hominidae.